UACAUGGGGUGCAAACGUUGCUCGGAAUUAUUGGGCGUAAAGAGCGCGCAGGCGGUCGAUCAAGUCGAGUGUGAAAGCCCCCGGCUCAACUGGGGAGGGUCAUUCGAUACUGAUCGACUCGAAGGCAGGAGAGGGUAGUGGAAUUCCUGGUGUAGCGGUGAAAUGCGCAGAUAUCAGGAGGAACACCGGUGGCGAAGGCGGGACUCUGGGCCGAUACUGACGCUGAGGAGCGAAAGCGUGGGGAGCAAACAGG
Molecule: ribosomal RNA, 253 nt
Filed under: uncultured bacterium
Lineage: Bacteria
Description: partial 16S ribosomal RNA
Rfam family: Bacterial small subunit ribosomal RNA
Source: RNAcentral